GGGGAAUCUUCCGCAAUGGGCGAAAGCCUGACGGAGCAACGCCGCGUGAGUGAAGACGGCCUUCGGGUUGUAAAGCUCUGUUAUACGGGACGAAUAGUCUUGUGGUUAAUACCCAUAAGAAGUGACGGUACCGUAAGAGAAAGCCACGGCUAACUACGUGCCAGCAGCCGCGGUAAUACGUAGGUGGCAAGCGUUGUCCGGAAUUAUUGGGCGUAAAGGGCGCGCAGGCGGCUUCUUAAGUCUGUUUUAAAAGUGCGGGGCUUAACCCCGUGAUGGGAUGGAAACUGGGAAGCUCAGAGUAUCGGAGAGGAAAGCGGAAUUCCUAGUGUAGCGGUGAAAUGCGUAGAUAUUAGGAGGAACACCAGUGGCGAAAGCGGCUUUCUGGACGAAAACUGACGCUGAGGCGCGAAAGCCAGGGGAGCGAACGGGAUUAGAUACCCCGGUAGUCCUGGCCGUAAACGAUGGGUACUAGGUGUAGGAGGUAUCGACCCCUUCUGUGCCGGAGUUAACGCAAUAAGUACCCCGCCUGGGGAGUACGGCCGCAAGGUUG
Molecule: ribosomal RNA, 550 nt
Filed under: uncultured bacterium
Lineage: Bacteria
Description: bacterial SSU rRNA
Rfam family: Bacterial small subunit ribosomal RNA
Source: RNAcentral